RNAcentral lists this long non-coding RNA (4144 nucleotides) under Bemisia tabaci. RNAcentral describes it as "lncRNA ENSSSA1NGG005711". Lineage: Eukaryota; Metazoa; Arthropoda; Insecta; Hemiptera; Aleyrodidae. The record is from RNAcentral.
GGAGUUGAAGUUGCAUCACUGCUACGUUGUUUACAUUCUUUUGAGGUUAGUUUUGAUAACGAUAUCGCAAAUUCAUCUCCGGCCGGCUCUCCUCUUUUCCUUAUUUGUCUCCUCGAUUUGCCUUGCCACAUGUUUAGUAGUGGCUUUCAGUUACGUAGUUUUACCGUUAUUUCAAGUUUCCUUAGAUUAAAAAUAGUACAUCCAUUCCCCAAAGCUCGGUGUCUUCAAGCGGUUCCUUCGAAAUUCUUCAAUUGCGGGACUCUCAACUCGACGACAAUGGAAGUUGAUCAAGCUGAGUCUAAUGGGACUGUCGGGUUGCGUUGGAAAAAGAAGAACCAAACAGAAUUUUACUUCAACUUUAUAACUUGACAACUUGACAACUUUACUUCUACAACGCAUCUAGUAUUAUUCUCUCAUUAAUGGUAUGAACAAUGACAAACAUUACUUUGUAACCCAAUCUAAAAGGCUGUCCUUAAAGUGCAUAGUGCUAUUUUUCUGAUUUUCUAACAUCUUUUCCCACCCCUUGUGAUGCAUAUUCUGAUAUCCUCCAGCAACAUUUUCCUCGGUAUUUCCUUUUUCUCCUAAAAUCCCAACAUAAGCUUAGGCACAGCCUGCUUUAACUGGCAAGGCUUUAGAGAGGAUCAAAAAAUAAUUUAAGAAAAUGAUUAUUUGAAGUGCCUAUUAAAAUGAGAGAAUGAAAGAAACAAACCAGAAAUUGAAAGGAAAAGAAAAGGAAAUACCCAUAGCCAAAUCAUUACUUACCAAUUAACGUUACUUAAUUAUGAACUCAAUACCCCUCUUCCUCCACCCCUUAUAAUGCUCCGUGCUCCAUGAAGAACCUUCUACUCCCUUACGUAAGCAUUACAUAAUUUAUGGAAAGCCCUUAAGUGGAGGUCAAAUAAAUCAGAGUGAAUGAAAUACUUAAUACAUCGACAGACGAGGAAGUCAGAUAGCUGUAUUACCUACCUAUCAAGGUUUUUAGGAAGUCGAAUCUCUCAUGAAGUGAUUUUUUUUUUUUUUUUUUUUUUUUUUUUUUUUUUUUUAAUAAAAUCGUGUCUUUUGGACAUAUCACUCAAAUAUGCCUCUCUUUGACAAUCCUUUAAUGCACUUGUUAGAAAAUUCUGCAUUUGUAGAAAUGAAACAUUGAAAAAUAUUUGGAAUAAACUGCAGUGUAUAUUUUGGGAGAAUUCGUGGAAGUACCUUUAUGACCUAUACUUAGCCUAAGAUUGCUGUGUCACACAGUUGAUGGAUCUUCUUAGUAAUUGUGUUGCCUGGCCCAAAAAAUCACUGAGCCGUUGAAAAUUACCCUGCCAGUGUUGUCAAUUUUUAAACCAUCCCAACUCUUCGAACUGCCGCAUAUGCUUGUUUUUUAUUUUACAAGCCAAACUAAGAACUUGGUUUGCCACGGUUCAAUGAGUGAAGCAGUCAUUAGGUCAUGAUCAAUCCUCAGAAAAAAAUUGCCAGAUUGCACAGGACUUUCCUAUCAAAAAAUACAAUAUUAAAAGUGAAAGAGCAUCUUUAGGUUUCUUCAGAAAUAAGCAAUUUUUUGGGUGGUGAUUCCUUUCACCAAUCCUCAGGACGUCAUUCAAAAUGUUCAAAAAUUAGGGAGGAAGCAGAGCGUCACUUAAAACGCUUGAAAAUGUGAAAAAAGUGAAACCGAAGGAUAGUGAUCUUAGUGGCUCUCAAAAUUUAAAGGGUCUCUCUGCUGUAUCUAGAGGUCCGGAAUCAUUGUCCUUCAAUUACGCGGUAUGCAAUUGUUCAUGCUCUUGAGGCUCGAAAGCGAACUGGACUCAUUGCCAGGAGUAUUUUGGAGGGGAAAGCUCGGUGACUCUAACGGAGAAGGCGCGGAGGCCACUUUAGAAAACUGAUGAGUUGUAGUUAGUAAAGCCAUAAAUCUCUCAUCAACAGCUUGUCAGGGAGUUGGCGCACUUGUGUGAGUUGAUGAAGAGGUGCAGCGAUAUUGCGCACCGCGGACAACAUUGACAUUGAAAGGAACGUGAUAGGUACUAACAUGUAUUAAACCUCACUCAAUUCUUUGCCUGCUAUGUUGAAGAUUGGGUCAAAACUUCUGUCAAGAAAUAUAAAAACGCUCUAUCGUUCUGACCGCCGGAUCGAGGAUCUAAGUAAAUCAUAGAAAAAACACUGAUCAGAAAUCACACACUUCAACAUAUUUAUUAAACUAGGUAAAUUCCAAAAAUUGCCCCUUAUUUUAUUUAUUUAUUUUUUUUUUUAAUUUAAUCCCGAGAUCCACGACACCCAUUCGCUUUUCGGCGGCUAGUCGAAACGUAUGCGCAGUUUGGUCGUUAGGUCGCCGAAUAGAUGUGUAACUUAUGCAUUAUAAGUAAGUUUUGUGUGUCAUCUGGGGCAUUGGCAAGUCCAACAAUGGAGAUGUUGCAUGUGUGAGGGAUUUGCGAUUUGACUGUUGAUUCUUAUGUAAAAGUUCGCGAGAAACACGAUGGUACCACUGGUUCUCUCUAAAGUCAACUCCCAAGCUCAAAAAAGCUCUCAAGUUGAGGCCAAAAUGGAGGGGAUAUCCCACGCUAUCCUGAGAGUCCACCUCUACAUCAAGACAAACUCUCCAUGCAAAGGUAGGGAGCAAAUACAUUAGCAGGGUUGCCGUGUUUUCAGUUUUGGAGUCUCCAAAUAAGGUGGUAGCCCUGUUAAUGUAUUUGCUCCCUAUCUUUGCACGGAGAGUUUGUUUUGAUGUAGAGGUGGGCUCUCAGGAUAGCGUGGGAUAUCCCCUCCAUUUUGGCCCCAACCUGAGAGCUUUUUUGGAACUUGGGAGUUGAUUUCAGAGAAUACCAGUGGCACCAUCGUGUUUCUCCCGAACUUUUGCAUAAAAAUCAACAGUCAAAUCGCAAAUUCCUCACACAUGCAACAUCUCCAUUCGUUGUUUCCCGUACACAGGAACGUAACUCCAUUCCACGGUUGCAAAAUUGGCUCAAACAACUCAAUUUUUCUCCAAAAUGUAACCUGUGCAAAUUUUUUCCAAAAGUGUACUGAUUUUUGCAUGAGAUCAGAGGAAAAAUCACGGAAAUUUUAGGGAAGUUUCCAUGAGGUUCUCCCUGUACAGUAAUAAAUUCUCUCAUAAAAUCAAGCAUCAAUAUGAAAUAUUAGUUAUUAUUUCCUUGAUUGUAACCUGCGAACACAGGAGCAAACCUUGAAAAAUUCGACAUUUCUAAUUUUGGGUGUCAAAUCAAUAAUUGCUCGUGAUUUACGUGUUAGGAAACUCCAGCUGCCAGUUUCUGCGUCUACUCGGAAAUACACGAAUAUUGGGCAAAUACAAUAACAUGUAUCCUUCAAAUAGGUAGCACUUAAAACAAAACAUUGAUCGAAAAUCAUCAUUUGUGUAAAACGCCUGUACCUGAACUGAUACCCAAAAUGAAUUUUCUCUCUGGAUCUCGGCUUUUUAUCCUGCUCCUGACCGUAAGUUUGUCCCCAACCAGGGCCGGAUUAAAGGGGUGGCCACAUGGCAAAUCUUGGGGGCGGCAAAUUUUGCAAUUUUUAUAAAUGUAUAGGUAUAAAAAAAAUCGGAUUUAGAAAAAAAAAUUACAAACGAGAAAAGGCUACAAAAUCUCUCAUUUCCUGAGAGCAUAGUAAUUUCUAAUUUUGUCGUCUUUCAGUGAUACAAGAGACAGUACCUUUAAUUAGUCGAGUUAAGAGAGAAUCCGAACACACAAUUUGGCCUGGAACGGCGCGACUUAGGGAGAAAUGAUGACGAGGUCUUGAGAUGAAAAGGAGAAGCCCUCGGUGCGGCAAUCGGCAUGUAACACAUAUUAGCGCCUACAAGACUGCACAAAUACUUCACGCAUUGCAUCAAACACAGUGAGGUUAUUGUGGUCAGCGUGAAACGGAUAGCGCCUACAAGAAUGCACGAAUACUUCACGCAUUGAGCCAAACACGGUGCGGUUAGCGUGAAACGCAUAGCGCCUACGAGACUGCGUGAAUACUUCACGCAUUGCGCCAAACACGGUGCGGUCGGCGCGGCGCGGCGGCGGAAGUUAAGACCAUUAAACCAAAUUUUGUGUUUGUUCUUUCAUAAUUUUUUCGUUCAUUUCUUAUGAAUGGGAGGCCUUGUCCAUUGGAGAUAGGUUUACGAAACUUGACUUUCGCGCGAAGUUCCGUGACCUUUUGCUAGUAGUGU